Molecule: long non-coding RNA, 507 nt
Organism: Hippocampus zosterae (dwarf seahorse)
Lineage: Eukaryota; Metazoa; Chordata; Actinopteri; Syngnathiformes; Syngnathidae
Exons: 3
Source: RefSeq, a predicted model, not a curated record
CAGACAUCAUGUCACACAAGUGUGCCUUUCACACACCAACACGAUUUGGAGCCGAAAUGUUUUCACGAAUAGAAUUUUGCUUGUACUUAAUUUCAAACGAUUUCAAUUGUUUGUUUCUUUGUUUUAUUGCGGGGAGAUUUGGGGGCGUGAACAAGCAUUGAUUGGAACAGGUGCUUUUGUCAGACGGACACUUUUGUUGGGUACACGGCCGUCUGAAGACCACACGUCGGGGAUUCCCUGCGUGGAUUUCGACAACGACGGCAAGGAGAUGGGCCGCCGCGUCCAAGUCGCGUCGGACGUCCCGCAACGUUUGGCUCAGCUCGCCGCCGGACCAUGCGCCGCCGCAGGAGCCGCACGAAUGGUCGCCUCCGCUGGAAGGCUAUUUGACAGACACCCCGUGAUUGGCAGGCGACCAGUCCGGCACGUGUGCUGGUAGUGGUCAUACUGUUGAAGAGCGACCAAUCUGUGUUCCAAUCAAUGUAGGGGGACCGCCCCAAUGUUUCUCUC